CCAGUCAGGAAACACUUUACAAAAAGAACAUGCGUGUUGUUCUGGACAGAAAUGACAAAGGUGUUGUAUCUGGGAAAAUUCAGUCGAUUCUCAUUCACAGCAAUUCCAAUGUUCAGUACAUGUUGUCACAAAGAAAUAACUUUCUUGUAAACCAGGGAGUUCACUGAUUGACAUCACAAAGUUUGGGUCACUUAUGCAUUAAUCAAAAUAAUCUGCCUGCCUGCCUUGUGUAGUCUGACUGUAAUGGUUCUUCGUCAUUCUUUUCCAUUACUAGAAUGAUGUCUGAGUUACAAAAAGAGAUUAAGCAAACCUUACUGUGAUAAUACCAAGCCUUCCUGACGAGCCACUCAAUCAGUCAGUUGAGAAAUGUGGAGGCUGAGGAGUAGAAGAUUUAAUGUACGUGAAAGAAGAGGACUUCUUAAGAACUGUUCAGCGCCUGGAAAGAUCGUGGUAUGUUGUGCACAUUGUUUGUUGUCACACUCUUGAACUGAUAUUUCAUUACAUUUUUCAGAACAAAGAAGCAGCAUUUUGGUUCAGUAAUUAGUUUGACCUGUAGGUCUCCUCAAAAGUCACCACAAAUGAGCUCCUCAGUAAGAAAAUGGAUGGACUCACGCUUCAAGCAGAUACAUUUGCCACUUCAGCAGAUGUCCAAGGAACACUCAACUUGCCUGACAGUCCUUGAAUUAUAAUUCUUGGUCAAACUCUAAGCAACCAGCAGUGGAUGGUGAGCAUUGAAGGUCACGUUGUAUGUGAGGGAACACAACUCAGCUUUGUCUGUGGCCGUACUGCUGUGUUUGCUUCAUGUGUGGACACUUUUUCUUUGGUGUUGUUUCUUGUGACUGAAGACAGAGAAAGCAAAAUUAAAGUUAGAAAUAUUCUUUAUUCAUACACACCAGGCAGAGGUUAAAUGACAGAGAAACACAGCCCUAGGAUCUGCACCGAGGGGCCCGUGUCCCCCAUUCAUAUAGGGCUUUAAGACUUUAGUUACAUAAGCAUUAUCAAAUAAUCUAAGAGUGGAGUACAUCUGUUGGGGCCUGAUGAGUCCACACCCGUUAGACGCCCAAGAAGUAGCACUUGUUUUCAUACACUGUAAGCAUGCGGGGUCUGCAGGACUCCUACCACACACCCCAUAGAACAUGCUUUCUGUCACGUACAUCAGAUUUGUCAAGCACAAGUUAUUGACCUGAAUUUUUUAUUUUUCCACACAUGUUAUAAUUUCAACCUCCAAUAUAGGAAGAAACUGCAAGCACCCUUGAUUUUGUUCAAAGGUAAAACAUUGGCUUAUUUUCCAUACAUACAUUUUCAUUAAAACUGACUUACACUUCCAUCAGACUUUAUUACACGCAGCCUGUAAAACGUUUGCACACUCCUCUUAGACACACAGUAAGCUUAUUCUCCUUCUCAUACCCUAUUAAAUUUUUGUGACACACUAUUACCCACCCUGACACACACCAUGAUAUUUUUUCUAUAAAUUAAAUUGGUUAAAAGUAAAUAUUGGCAAAUUCAGUUAUGUACUUGAAUCUCUUU
Molecule: long non-coding RNA, 1527 nt
Organism: Polypterus senegalus (gray bichir)
Lineage: Eukaryota; Metazoa; Chordata; Cladistia; Polypteriformes; Polypteridae
Exons: 3
Source: RefSeq, a predicted model, not a curated record